Molecule: signal recognition particle RNA, 300 nt
Filed under: Aotus nancymaae (Ma's night monkey)
Lineage: Eukaryota; Metazoa; Chordata; Mammalia; Primates; Aotidae
Description: Metazoan signal recognition particle RNA (ENSANAG00000004362.1)
Rfam family: Metazoan signal recognition particle RNA
About the family: The signal recognition particle (SRP) is a universally conserved ribonucleoprotein. It is involved in the co-translational targeting of proteins to membranes. The eukaryotic SRP consists of a 300-nucleotide 7S RNA and six proteins: SRPs 72, 68, 54, 19, 14, and 9.
Source: RNAcentral
GCCAGGCAGAAAUGGUGUGUGCCUUUAGUCUCAGCUACUCAGAGGAUAAGGCUGGGAGGAUCACUUGAGCCCAGGAGUUCUGGUCUGUAGGACACUAUGACUAGAGGAUAUCUGCAUUAACUUCAGCAUCAAUAUAGUGAACUUUUGGUAGAGGGGUAUCAUGAGGUUGCUCUAGGAGAGGUGAAUCUGCCCAGAUCGAAUAUGGAGCAGAUCAAAAUUCCCGUGCUGAUCAGUAGCAAGAUUGUUCCUGUGAGCAGCCACUGUACUCCAGCCUGGGCAACAUAGCAAGACCCCAUCCCU